UACGUAGGGCGCAAGCGUUGUCCGGAAUUAUUGGGCGUAAAGAGCUCGUAGGCGGCUUGUCACGUCGGGUGUGAAAGCCCGGGGCUUAACCCCGGGUCUGCAUUCGAUACGGGCUAGCUAGAGUGUGGUAGGGAAGCGGAAUUCCCGGUGUAGUGGUGAAAUGCGUAGAUAUUGUGAGGAACAUCGAUGGCGAAGGCAGCUCGCUGCCUGUUACUGACGCUGAGGCGCGAAAGCA
This 235-nucleotide ribosomal RNA is filed under the name uncultured bacterium. RNAcentral describes it as "partial 16S ribosomal RNA". It matches the Rfam family "Bacterial small subunit ribosomal RNA", at positions 524 to 761 of the family's 1533-position model. The record is from RNAcentral.